Molecule: long non-coding RNA, 170 nt
Organism: Dreissena polymorpha
Lineage: Eukaryota; Metazoa; Mollusca; Bivalvia; Myida; Dreissenidae
Exons: 2
Source: RefSeq, a predicted model, not a curated record
AGAAUCUUCACUGUUCCAGCUGCUGUCGGCCAUUUUCUUUUAAAGCAAACAAUUAUUCUUCGUAAUUAGUCGUUAAUAUUUGAUGUCGUAGGGUAUUCUGAGCAUGAUCUGAUCAAAAUGCCAAAAAAAAAGAAGAGAGCAGGUGUUUCUGGUCGGCGUCAUAAAUACCA